Long non-coding RNA from Coffea arabica (coffee), 174 nucleotides. RefSeq lists it as uncharacterized. The record is from RefSeq and is a predicted model, not a curated record. Lineage: Eukaryota; Viridiplantae; Streptophyta; Magnoliopsida; Gentianales; Rubiaceae.
CUUUUUUCUUUCUUCUCUUUCCUUUUUUCAAUUAUAUGAUUCUAAUUGAUUUUUUUCCCUUGUUAGAAUUGGUCUGGAUAUGAAGCUACUAAACGCAUGAGACACAGAAAUCAUCUUAAUUGAUCUUGCAGGUGAAAUGUUAGAAAUCAGCUUCAGCACCUUAAUUAGAUUUUG